ACUGCGGAGGAUCAUUACCGAGUAUGAACGCGGGCUGGAACCGCUCGGGGUGACAGCCUUGCUGACUUAUUCUCCCUUGUCUUUUGCGCACUUCUUGUUUCCUUGGGGGGUUCGCCCACCACUAGGACAAACAUAAACCUUUUGUAAUUGCAAUCAGCGUCAGUAAUUAAUUAAUAAUUACAACUUUCAACAACGGAUCUCUUGGUUCUGGCAUCGAUGAAGAACGCAUGGAAAUGGCAUAAGUAAUGUGAAUUGCGAAAUUCAGUGAAUCAUCUAAUCUUUGAACGCACAUUGAGCCCUUUGGUAUUCCAAAGGGCAUGCCUGUUCGAGCGUCAUUUGGACCCUCAAGCUUUGCUUGGUGUUGGGCGUCUUGCCUCUAGCUUUGCUGGAGACUCGCCGUAAAGUAAUUGGCAGCCGGCCUACUGGUUUCGGACCGCAGCACAAGUCGCACUCUCUAUCAACAAAGGUCUAGCAUCCAUUAAGCCUUUUUUUCAACUUUUGACCUCGGAUCAGGUAGGGAUACUCGCUGAACUAAAGCAUAUCUAAGUUGGAAUAAGACCUCAAAAUCAUGCGGGACUACCCGCUGAGCUUAAGCAUAUCAUCACUGGAGCGGAAGUAAAGACUUUUAAAAUUUUAGCGUGUUCCCCUUCCUGAGCUGAAAAUAUAAAAAAAAUUGUUUUGCCGUUUUCCUGAUCGUGCUACUAAUCCCAAUGGAAAGGUUGCACACAUAUAGGGUCAGAAAACUUAUUCAAUGACCCUUGAUUACAGUCUGCUAUAAAGAGACAUCCCUCGAAGAGUCAAGUUAAUCGCGACUGCAGCUCAAAAUGAGUGUAAAAAUUCCAACUAAACUCUAAGUAUUGGAACAAAGACUGAUUGACAAUACUGCGCAAAUACUAGAGAAAAUCAAAAUGCGAAAUAUGCGGUUCUAAACGCACUGUAAUCUAAAUAGCGUUUCACUAUCGGACCAGUACUGCAGUUCUGGAAACAAAUGUCCAAGAGGUUAAAAUCCGUUUUAUGGCCGGAACUCCAUCUUAUGGUAUGUUUUCUUAGAAGUCAGUU
This is a ribosomal RNA of 1059 nucleotides. The stretch from base 182 to 335 matches the Rfam family "5.8S ribosomal RNA".